Small nucleolar RNA from Macadamia integrifolia, 105 nucleotides. Lineage: Eukaryota; Viridiplantae; Streptophyta; Magnoliopsida; Proteales; Proteaceae. The record is from RefSeq and is a predicted model, not a curated record.
GGGCCAUGGUGAGGGCAUUCUUAGAGUAGAUCCUUGAAUCGCUCCAUAAGUUUGGAAAAGGACUCACUAGGCUUUUGCCCAAACUAAAGGAUCACUUCUAAGCUU